Molecule: non-coding RNA, 110 nt
Filed under: chicken gut metagenome
Description: THF riboswitch
Rfam family: THF (Tetrahydrofolate) riboswitch aptamer
About the family: THF riboswitch presents a pseudoknot that joins P1-P2 and the loop of P3 and two THF binding.
Source: RNAcentral
AGAGUAAAAACUCAGGCGUCAAGUGCCGACCGGACGGGGAGUUGCCGAUCGGACGAAAGCUCAUCACGGCUUUGCCGUGUAAGGCUACGGUCUGUGUUUUGCAUCCCGCU